RNAcentral lists this transfer RNA (102 nucleotides) under Aspergillus carbonarius ITEM 5010. RNAcentral describes it as "tRNA-Pro". Lineage: Eukaryota; Fungi; Ascomycota; Eurotiomycetes; Eurotiales; Aspergillaceae. The record is from RNAcentral.
GCCCGGGUGGUCUAGUGGUAUGAUUCUCGCUUAGGGAUGGCUUCCGCCUACAAACCCAAGCAUAUCUGCGAGAGGUCCCGCGUUCGAUCCGCGGCUCGGGCC